AAGACUAUAGACCUGCGGAGUACCUGCGGAAGGAUCAUUACUGAGUUUCACAACUCUCUAACCCUGUGUGAACUGAAGUCUGGUUGCUCAGGCAGGCGGCCCCCGGGGGGAGCCGCAGCUUCUCUGAAGCGCCUGCCGGAGGAUACCUAAACUCGUUUUAACAUAUAAUCUUCUGAGUAAUAAAAAAAAAUGAAUCAAAACUUUUAACAACGGAUCUCU
Molecule: unclassified non-coding RNA, 219 nt
Filed under: soil metagenome
Description: partial contains 5.8S ribosomal RNA, internal transcribed spacer 2, and large subunit ribosomal RNA
Source: RNAcentral